Ananas comosus (pineapple) is the source of this 584-nucleotide long non-coding RNA. RefSeq lists it as uncharacterized. The transcript has 3 exons. Lineage: Eukaryota; Viridiplantae; Streptophyta; Magnoliopsida; Poales; Bromeliaceae. The record is from RefSeq and is a predicted model, not a curated record.
CCUGCGGCAGCAAUGGCGGCGGCGGCGGACUCGACGAGGUCGUGGAGCUGCGCGUGCGUGAGAUCGAGCUUGCCGGGGACGAGGAGGGCGCGCCGGCCGGGGAAUUUCUCCGCGGCCUCCUUCAGAAGCCCAGUUAGGGAGGGGACUUGGCCGUGCUGCGACGCGUGCGAGGGAUGGGUGAGCAGUGAUUCCCGGGUAGUUGGCGCUCGCGCCACCUCCGGGCCCGCGAGCUGCUGCCACGUGUGCGUCCCUUCGCGGCCUGGAACGUGGAAAGUCGUACGUGCACCUGGUGCGCCAUUACGCCCUGUGUACCGCCCUUCUUAAUCUCAGCUAAAUCCUUGCAAGUGGAGUGGUGGCAUUAUCUGGAGCAGGGAAGAUUGAUUUUUUUGGAUUCUGGCUGCUUCUGGACGCGGGCGCUUCGUUUUUCUGUUGCAACCUCCACCACUUGUACCUUUUCUAGCUUUUUAAUGAAAAAGAAGACAAUCCAAUGAUGUUAUUGGCGCAUCCGGAGAUAGGACCAGGCUAGAAUACUGUUAAUAAUAAAUUAAUUAUUUAUAUUAUUAAAUUUUUAAUUUUUGGAUGAA